This 516-nucleotide ribosomal RNA is filed under the name Triticum aestivum (bread wheat). RNAcentral's name for it is "partial small subunit ribosomal RNA". Lineage: Eukaryota; Viridiplantae; Streptophyta; Magnoliopsida; Poales; Poaceae. The record is from RNAcentral.
AUGAAUUUGCUCGAGAGCUUCGGCGACGCUACGGGCCUGAAGAUAAACAAUGUCAAGUCAACGGCAACUCCGAUUUGCUGUCAAGAUAUUGAUCUCAGCACGGUACUCCAGUCUUUUGGGGGACCGAUCAUGCAAUUCCCGAUCAGAUACCUAGGGCUCCCACUCACAGUUGGCCGGAUUAGGCUAGUACAUCUUCAGUUCAUCCUAGAUAGAAUCCAGGCUAGAUUAGCAGGAUGGAAAGGGAGAAUGCUCUCCAUGGCCGGGCGUAGGGUGCUCGUCAGAUGCGUCCUCACCGCCAUGCCAACGUUUGCCCUUACAGCCCUUAAAAUCCUAGUAAAGCUGUUGAAAGAAAUAGACAAACGUAGACGCCGAUUCCUCUAUGGCCAGGAUCAGGAGCUCAGCGGCGGUAGCUGCAAGGUGAGCUGGACACGGGUUUGCUCCCAGAUCGACCACGGCGGCCUUGGCAUCCUCGAUCUUCCCAAGUUCAGCCGUGCCCUACGCCUACGAUGGCUCUAG